CAGGGGACUAUGAACAUACAUCUUUACUUAAAAUAGUAAAAAAUUAUUGUUUAAAACCCAAAGGACUUGGCGGUGCUUCAUAUCCCCCUAGAGGAGCCUGUUUUAGAAUCGAUACUCCCCGCUAAACCUCACCUUUUCUUGCAUACCCCGCCUGUAUACCGCCGUCGUCAGUUUACCCUAUGAGGGAAGAAAAGUAGGCAAAAUCGUUUCUAAAGCCAGCAUGACAGGUCAAGGUGCAGCUAAUGAAAAGGAAUUAAAUGGGCUACAUUUACUGAGCCAGUAAAUUACGAAUGUUUGUCAUGAAAAAACAACUGAAGGAGGAUUUAGUAGUAAGAAGAGAAUAGAGUGCUUUUCUGAAUUUUUCAAGGCUCUGAAGCGCGUACACACCGC
Molecule: ribosomal RNA, 390 nt
Filed under: Lythrypnus okapia
Lineage: Eukaryota; Metazoa; Chordata; Actinopteri; Gobiiformes; Gobiidae
Description: partial 12S ribosomal RNA
Source: RNAcentral